Molecule: ribosomal RNA, 1286 nt
Filed under: Histeroidea sp. 4 KM-2017
Lineage: Eukaryota; Metazoa; Arthropoda; Insecta; Coleoptera
Description: 16S ribosomal RNA
Rfam family: Archaeal large subunit ribosomal RNA (bases 858-1216)
Source: RNAcentral
UAUUUAUUAAAUUAUUUUAUUUAUAGUUUAACUCUAAUUAAUCAAAGUAUUGAUUUUUUUAUUAUUUUUAAAGAAAAAAUUGUUUUAAUUAUAAUUUAUAGUACUGUGAGGGAAUUUUAUUAAAAUGUUUAAGAGAAGAAUUUAAUUUUUGUACCUUUUGUAUCAGGGUUUAUUAAAAAGUGAAUUUAUAUUAAAUUUUUCCCGAAACUUAAAGGGCUAAGAGAUUAUUUAUUUUAUUGUUAAAUAAAUAUUUUCAAUAAUCUUUUAGAGUUGAAAUGUCAUUCGGUUUUAGUGAUAUCUGGUUUCUUGAUAAAUCAGUUUAAUUGAAUUUUAAGCUUAUAUUUUUUUAUAAUUUAUUUAAUUAAUAUAACUUAAUUUAUAAGGUAAGGGGGAUUAGCUCUUUAUCUUAUUUCUUUAAUUAUUAAGUCUUUUUGUUUUGGUAGGAUUAGAAGUUUUCAUCAUUAUAGUGUGUUAUUACUAAGGCUAAUUAAAUUUUGAUUUAUAUUUUAUUGAGAUUUUAUAUUAAGAUGAUUUAUUUAAUUUGGAUUUAUAGGCAAUAAUGAUAGAAUUAGUAUACUUUUAUUUAUUACUUAAUUUUAUAUUUUAGGUUAAGUAAAGGAAUUCGGCAAUAAUAAUUCUCGCCUGUUUAUUAAAAACAUGUCCUUUUGUUGAUUAUUUAAGGUCUGGCCUGCCCACUGACUAUUUUAAAGGGCUGCAGUAUUUUGACUGUACAAAGGUAGCAUAAUCAUUAGUUUCUUAAUUAGGAACUGGAAUGAAUGGUUAAACGAGGAAUUAGCUGUCUCUAUUUAAUUUUCUAUAGAAUUUUAUAUUUAGGUCAAAAAGCCUAAAUAAUAAUUGAAGACGAGAAGACCCUAUAGAGUUUUAUUUUUAUUUUUCUAUUUAGAAUUUAGAAUUUCUUUUAAAUUAGUUUAGUAAGAGUUUCGUUGGGGUGAUAGGAAUAUUUAAUUAACUUUUCUUUUUUUGUUACAUUUUUAAAUGAUUGUAUGAUCCAUUAAUUUUGAUUAUAAGAUUAAAUUACCUUAGGGAUAACAGCGUAAUUCUUUUGGAUAGUUCUUAUUGAUAAAAGAGUUUGCGACCUCGAUGUUGGAUUAAAAAAGGAUUUGGCGCAGGAGUCAUAAUUACUUGGUCUGUUCGACCAUUAAAAUUUUACAUGAUCUGAGUUUAGACCGGCGUGAGCCAGGUUGGUUUCUAUCUCUAUUUAAUUUAAAUGGCUUAGUACGAAAGGACCAGCUUUUUAUAAUAUUUAUUAUAUUUUGAAUUAAAUU